This is a non-coding RNA of Nelumbo nucifera (sacred lotus), 1009 nucleotides long. The record is from RefSeq and is a predicted model, not a curated record. NCBI's taxonomy places the organism in Eukaryota, Viridiplantae, Streptophyta, Magnoliopsida, Proteales, Nelumbonaceae.
CAUCAGUUUGAGGUAGAAACCAACUCUGGUAUACCGAUCUGCCCUCAAUAUAACCCUGGAAGUCACUCCAAUGGUUCCUGAUUUUUGCGGGAUCACACCUCGUAACAACUAAGAAUUAUCUCCCCGUUCGAUUCGAGCGGAAGUGAUUAACCUUAUCAACUGAUAAUGUUAUCUCCAGUUAACGCGAAAACAGAUUCUAUCAUGGCAAUGAUCUCGGAACUACUCUGCGAGGCCCGCGAGGACUCCAUUAUAUAAAGGCCUCCCUCCAGGGGCCCAAGGUACGUGCAAUUACUGCUCACUAGCCUUCUUAUUUCCUAAAUUACUCUCAGCUUGCAAGUUACUGACUUAAACAUCGGAGCGACCUCAUCGGGUAAACGCCCCUGGGUUCUUUGAUGUUCUCUGUGCAGAUCAACUAGCCCCGUCGUCUACUAGAAGCCAUUUCAUCUCCAGCUAGGAGCAGCCAGAUUGCGUCACAUUUACUACCACCAUCUCUCUCUCUCUCGUGUGCAUUUGUAAGCGCAAGUGGAAUUGUGGACUUUUCUUAGUGUUAUCAAAAGGAUUCGUUCUAACGUGGAUGAUUCGACAAGACGAAAACAUCUAUCGUCAAUUGGCAGGGAGGUUAAAGUAAGACAUCCACAGUCCACGGAGCAAAAUUCGGAUGGUUUUACAAUAACAACGAUGUCACUAUUAUAUUCAGUGGUCGACCGCGUUGAGAUCAUGCUGUAAUAAUUCAAAGAUUGGAUUACGACAUCGAUGCAUAUCGUCUUACACAUGAUCUUAGAAUCUGCAAGAUUUAUUCCUUCAAGCGACUACUCUUUAGCCAAUAAAAUGAAAAGCAGUGUUGUAGCAACAAGAAAAGAAAAUAUCAAAAUAUGAAAAACACAUCAAAUUUCAGAGCUUAUCACAAUUUACCUAGAAUCAUUUCCGUUCAAUCUCGUUGUUGUUGGCAAAACUAACACCAUAAAAAUUAAAAAUAAAAAAAAAUAAAAACAGUGAAGGGAUCGGCAAU